Molecule: small nuclear RNA, 104 nt
Organism: Erinaceus europaeus (western European hedgehog)
Lineage: Eukaryota; Metazoa; Chordata; Mammalia; Eulipotyphla; Erinaceidae
Source: Ensembl
GUGUUAUAUGAAAGGAGAGAAGGUUUACACUCCGCUUGACAAGAAUGGAAGAGGCCUUGGCCUGCACCACCCAUGCGGUUAAGGCAGUGUUACCUACUUCUUUC